This 2344-nucleotide long non-coding RNA is filed under the name Fragaria vesca (wild strawberry). RNAcentral's name for it is "long non-coding RNA (FVES_LNC004735)". Lineage: Eukaryota; Viridiplantae; Streptophyta; Magnoliopsida; Rosales; Rosaceae. The record is from RNAcentral.
CCGGAUUUUCUAAGACUUGGAUAUUCCUUGAUAUUCUGCCGAAUUUAGAUCUUCUUCUCCAUAUUGGACUUGGUUUGGACCUCUCCUUCUUGGACUAGGCUUCGUGGAUCAGCUGCUUUGCUUCCCUAGGUCCAUCAGGAACACUUCUCUCGGCAAUGAUUCAAGCAUAACUUCAAUUCUCCUGAUUCUUUCUCCCAUAACUCUUCUACAUAUCACCUAAGUAUCAGAGAAGUUAAAUCAAUUUGUGACAAUGUAAAAGCUUUACAAAAUCAUAAGAACAUCUCUAAGGCUCCACAAAUCGGCUUUUGACAAUUUUCUACAUCAUUCCUCUAUGUUUAACACAUUUUACGCACAACUCUACCAAAAACUUUCGACUCUACAUUAUGACUCUAUUCUACGACAAUAAGAGAUAAUCAAAGUACAAAUGGAGGUAAUAACACAUUAAGAAUGUCGUAUUUUAUGCUCCUAUCAGUGGACGAAAAAUAAUCAAGUAACCGAUCGCGACAUAACUAACUAAACUUAAUUACUUUCCCAUUUUCCAAUAAUCAAGAAAUCUGUCGCAUGCAAGUGUUGAUAAAACUUUCAUAAAGAAAAUCCCAAGGAAACAGACUAGCCCCGCUAGUUAAAUUAAUGACAAAGAUAAAUAAUAACCUUCAUAGAAGAAGGUACCAAAACAAGGGACUAGCCCCGCUAGUCAAAACGACAACAAUAAAUAAGAAACAAAUAUAGCCAUACAAGUGAGCCUCCCAGACUCGGUUGUCUCACAGGUAAUAGUACUCUCAUACUCCCUACACCUUCAUGUUAUGAUAACAGAGAGGAUGUAGGGCUUGCGUGAUGUCGUCGACUACAUCACAUCACCCGAAGGCGGAAAGGGCUUGAGUAACCCCACUUCAAACGUGGAAGUUACAUCGCCUCGAAAGGCGGAACAACAUGCUAGCAUUAGUAAUAUAUUAUCCGACAAGUAUGGCAUAAAUAAAGAAUCAUAUAUCCAUGUGAGUUUCCCCGAAACUCAUAAUUAAAGCAUAAGUACGAUUCCCAACCGUACUCAAAGAUUUCAAAGAGCAAAGAAAAUAAUUAAAUUCAAUGAUGUGUCCCACACGUUAAAAUGCUCAAUGAAAUAAAUAAUCAUCUCAUUAACAUAUUUCAAAAAUUAGACCAUACUCAAAUCUUUAAAGAAAUCUCAAAUCCAGAGAUCAAAAGAAUAUCAUAAUUCAAAUACCAAAACUCUUACCCAAGCUCAAAUCCAUAAGUUAUUAUCAAAAACAUAACCAGUCGGUCAAUCUCAAAUAAAUUCCAUAACCAACUCAAAAGCUGAAAUUAUAAUUUAAGCUCGGAAAAUAUAAUUGACAACUUAUAAAAUCAUGCAUGUAUAUUCCUUAAAAAAAUAAAGUGUCCACUCACAGAUUUAGGCCUAAGCCUGACGAAUUCCGAAUCAUUACUCAUGCGCGGUUCCCUUCGUAUCCUGGCACAAUAAAUAUGCUUAGGACCAAACUUAAAUUCUGGAAAAUUAAACAUUUGAAAAUAAACACCCAAAUCUCUUCCGCUUAACCCACUACUCUAACUAGGGUUAAGCUCACCGGAUUUCUACCAAACUCCACCAUAACCUUAAUUCCUCAAUUCUAACAUUUUAGAAUAAAUAUCAAGAAAAUCCAACGGCCGGAUUUAUCCUAACAACCGCCAUUCUCUCUAAUCUCCGAAAAAUUUCAAACAUAACCAAAACUCAUCCAAAAAUUCCAAACUAUACUUCAAUAAACUCCUCUUAUUAAAACCAUCUCAAAAACAGGAAAAACUGCCCUUAAGGGGCGGCGAUGCCGGCUGUUCCGCCGGCGGCGCCGACCGGCAGCCGUAUUCCGGCAAGGACCAAAGCUUCUCAAAUUUUAGCAGAAUAAUCCUCUCAUCAUGCACAACAACUUUCAUAACCAGCACUUAAUCCAAUUCUAAGGCUAACUAGGGUAAUCGAAUCAAAACAUCCAUAAAUCCCCAAAUUCAAACCCUAGCCCGAAAAUCCUCUUACACACUUCGAAUUUGAUAGUUACCUUCUAGGGGAUUGAUGCACCAAGAAAGGCCGUCAAGUUGAGCCAAACGUCUCCAGCUAUAGUGGCCGGAGGAGGGAGAUUCCGGCAGAAACUCCCCCCGCUGCCCAGUCGGCUUCUAGUCGGGUUUUCUACUUCACGGCGGCAAGGCACGGCCAUCCACCUGCCCAGAAUUACAGUAGAGCUGAUGCUGAGUCGAACGGGACCAGCGCGGCGGUCUGUGGGCGGCCGGACGACGGCGGACGGAGGCCGGGAAUCCAGCAGUUGGGAGAGACGCGGGANAGAGGAGAGAGUGAAACAGAGGCAGAGAA